AUUUCUGAAGUAAAUGUCUGAAGUGAGAGCGGACUAUGAAUCCUGCCUAAAUUCCUUGAGAACCAUUAUUGCUAGUCAGAGUUGACAAUACUAGGCUAGAUUGACCAAUAGCUUGACUCAGUUCAAGUGGCUAUUCAAUCCAGAAAGUUCCUAUGGUCUGUGAGAUUGUAAAGGACCACUUUUUGAACCUCUGAGAUCAUAUAAAACAUGGGAUCUAUGCAGAGCUUUGAACAAUUCUAUUUUUGGAUGUCAACCCCAGUUCAUGUCUAGUAUGAUGGAAAGGGAAGAAAUCUUCUUUGUUGGCUCAACAAUACAGUAGUAUCCUGUCAAAAGGAGAUGGUCCAGAAUUCUUUCAUGCUGUCUAGAGGACUGUAUUCAGAAGACCUUUGGUUGACAAAUAUAAUGAAUGAAUACCAUGUUUUAAUACAA
Molecule: long non-coding RNA, 429 nt
Organism: Sceloporus undulatus (fence lizard)
Lineage: Eukaryota; Metazoa; Chordata; Lepidosauria; Squamata; Phrynosomatidae
Exons: 3
Source: RefSeq, a predicted model, not a curated record